This 2903-nucleotide ribosomal RNA is filed under the name Enterobacter cloacae. Its description in RNAcentral is "bacterial LSU rRNA". It matches the Rfam family "Bacterial large subunit ribosomal RNA". Lineage: Bacteria; Pseudomonadati; Pseudomonadota; Gammaproteobacteria; Enterobacterales; Enterobacteriaceae. The record is from RNAcentral.
UUAAGCGACUAAGCGUACACGGUGGAUGCCCUGGCAGUCAGAGGCGAUGAAGGACGUGCUAAUCUGCGAAAAGCGCCGGCGAGGUGAUAUGAACCCUUGACCCGGCGAUGUCCGAAUGGGGAAACCCAGUGUGUUUCGACACACUAUCGUUAACUGAAUACAUAGGUUAACGAGGCGAACCGGGGGAACUGAAACAUCUAAGUACCCCGAGGAAAAGAAAUCAACCGAGAUUCCCCCAGUAGCGGCGAGCGAACGGGGAGCAGCCCGGAGUCUGAAUCAGCUUGUGUGUUAGUGGAACGGUCUGGAAAGUCCGACGGUACAGGGUGAUAGUCCCGUACACGAAAAUGCACAGGUUGUGAACUCGAAGAGUAGGGCGGGACACGUGGUAUCCUGUCUGAAUAUGGGGGGACCAUCCUCCAAGGCUAAAUACUCCUGACUGACCGAUAGUGAACCAGUACCGUGAGGGAAAGGCGAAAAGAACCCCGGCGAGGGGAGUGAAAAAGAACCUGAAACCGUGUACGUACAAGCAGUGGGAGCACCUUCGGGUGUGACUGCGUACCUUUUGUAUAAUGGGUCAGCGACUUAUAUUCUGUAGCAAGGUUAACCGUAUAGGGGAGCCGAAGGGAAACCGAGUCUUAACUGGGCGUUAAGUUGCAGGGUAUAGACCCGAAACCCGGUGAUCUAGCCAUGGGCAGGUUGAAGGUUGGGUAACACUAACUGGAGGACCGAACCGACUAAUGUUGAAAAAUUAGCGGAUGACCUGUGGCUGGGGGUGAAAGGCCAAUCAAACCGGGAGAUAGCUGGUUCUCCCCGAAAGCUAUUUAGGUAGCGCCUCGUGAACUCAUCUUCGGGGGUAGAGCACUGUUUCGGCUAGGGGGCCAUCCCGGCUUACCAACCCGAUGCAAACUACGAAUACCGAAGAAUGUUAUCACGGGAGACACACGGCGGGUGCUAACGUCCGUCGUGAAGAGGGAAACAACCCAGACCGCCAGCUAAGGUCCCAAAGUCAUGGUUAAGUGGGAAACGAUGUGGGAAGGCACAGACAGCCAGGAUGUUGGCUUAGAAGCAGCCAUCAUUUAAAGAAAGCGUAAUAGCUCACUGGUCGAGUCGGCCUGCGCGGAAGAUGUAACGGGGCUAAACCAUGCACCGAAGCUGCGGCAGCGACACUUAUGUGUUGUUGGGUAGGGGAGCGUUCUGUAAGCCGUUGAAGGUGUGCUGUGAGGCAUGCUGGAGGUAUCAGAAGUGCGAAUGCUGACAUAAGUAACGAUAAAGCGGGUGAAAAGCCCGCUCGCCGGAAGACCAAGGGUUCCUGUCCAACGUUAAUCGGGGCAGGGUGAGUCGACCCCUAAGGCGAGGCCGAAAGGCGUAGUCGAUGGGAAACAGGUUAAUAUUCCUGUACUUGGUGUUACUGCGAAGGGGGGACGGAGAAGGCUAUGUCAGCCGGGCGACGGUUGUCCCGGUUUAAGCAUGUAGGCGGAGGUUCCAGGUAAAUCCGGUACCUUGUUAACGCUGAGGUGUGAUGACGAGGCACUACGGUGCUGAAGUGAUAAAUGCCCUGCUUCCAGGAAAAGCCUCUAAGCAUCAGGUAACACGAAAUCGUACCCCAAACCGACACAGGUGGUCAGGUAGAGAAUACCAAGGCGCUUGAGAGAACUCGGGUGAAGGAACUAGGCAAAAUGGUGCCGUAACUUCGGGAGAAGGCACGCUGAUGUGUAGGUGAAGCCCCUGCGGGCGGAGCUGAAAUCAGUCGAAGAUACCAGCUGGCUGCAACUGUUUAUUAAAAACACAGCACUGUGCAAACACGAAAGUGGACGUAUACGGUGUGACGCCUGCCCGGUGCCGGAAGGUUAAUUGAUGGGGUUAGCGGCAACGCGAAGCUCUUGAUCGAAGCCCCGGUAAACGGCGGCCGUAACUAUAACGGUCCUAAGGUAGCGAAAUUCCUUGUCGGGUAAGUUCCGACCUGCACGAAUGGCGUAAUGAUGGCCAGGCUGUCUCCACCCGAGACUCAGUGAAAUUGAACUCGCUGUGAAGAUGCAGUGUACCCGCGGCAAGACGGAAAGACCCCGUGAACCUUUACUAUAGCUUGACACUGAACACUGGUCCUUGAUGUGUAGGAUAGGUGGGAGGCUUUGAAGCGUGGACGCCAGUCUGCGUGGAGCCAUCCUUGAAAUACCACCCUUUAAUGGCUGGUGUUCUAACGUAGACCCGUGAUCCGGGUUGCGGACAGUGUCUGGUGGGUAGUUUGACUGGGGCGGUCUCCUCCCAAAGAGUAACGGAGGAGCACGAAGGUUGGCUAAUCCUGGUCGGACAUCAGGAGGUUAGUGCAAUGGCAUAAGCCAGCUUGACUGCGAGCGUGACGGCGCGAGCAGGUGCGAAAGCAGGUCAUAGUGAUCCGGUGGUUCUGAAUGGAAGGGCCAUCGCUCAACGGAUAAAAGGUACUCCGGGGAUAACAGGCUGAUACCGCCCAAGAGUUCAUAUCGACGGCGGUGUUUGGCACCUCGAUGUCGGCUCAUCACAUCCUGGGGCUGAAGUAGGUCCCAAGGGUAUGGCUGUUCGCCAUUUAAAGUGGUACGCGAGCUGGGUUUAGAACGUCGUGAGACAGUUCGGUCCCUAUCUGCCGUGGGCGCUGGAGAAUUGAGGGGGGCUGCUCCUAGUACGAGAGGACCGGAGUGGACGCAUCACUGGUGUUCGGGUUGUCAUGCCAAUGGCACUGCCCGGUAGCUAAAUGCGGAAGAGAUAAGUGCUGAAAGCAUCUAAGCACGAAACUUGCCCCGAGAUGAGUUCUCCCUGAGACCUUGAGUCUCCUGAAGGAACGUUGAAGACGACGACGUUGAUAGGUCGGGUGUGUAAGCGCAGCGAUGCGUUGAGCUAACCGAUACUAAUGAACCGUGAGGCUUAACCUU